RNAcentral lists this ribosomal RNA (450 nucleotides) under uncultured bacterium. Its description in RNAcentral is "partial 16S ribosomal RNA". It matches the Rfam family "Bacterial small subunit ribosomal RNA", at positions 354 to 796 of the family's 1533-position model. The record is from RNAcentral. RNAcentral also lists the same sequence under 1 other name.
GUAGGGAAUCUUCCACAAUGGACGAAAGUCUGAUGGAGCAACGCCGCGUGAGUGAAGAAGGUUCUCGGAUCGUAAAACUCUGUUGUGAGGGAAGAACAAGUACCGGAGUAACUGCCGGUACCUUGACGGUACCUCAUUAGAAAGCCACGGCUAACUACGUGCCAGCAGCCGCGGUAAUACGUAGGUGGCAAGCGUUGUCCGGAAUCAUUGGGCGUAAAGCGCGCGCAGGCGGUCCCUUAAGUCUGAUGUGAAAGCCCACGGCUCAACCGUGGAGGGUCAUUGGAAACUGGGGGACUUGAGUGCAGAAGAGGAAAGCGGAAUUCCAAGUGUAGCGGUGAAAUGCGUAGAGAUUUGGAGGAACACCAGUGGCGAAGGCGGCUUUCUGGUCUGUAACUGACGCUGAGGCGCGAAAGCGUGGGGAGCAAACAGGAUUAGAAACCCGAGUAGUCC